This 253-nucleotide ribosomal RNA is filed under the name uncultured bacterium. RNAcentral describes it as "partial 16S ribosomal RNA". It matches the Rfam family "Bacterial small subunit ribosomal RNA", at positions 524 to 776 of the family's 1533-position model. The record is from RNAcentral.
UACGUAGGGCGCAAGCGUUGUCCGGAAUUAUUGGGCGUAAAGAGCUCGUAGGCGGUUUGUCGCGUCUGCUGUGAAAGCCCGGGGCUCAACCCCGGGUCUGCAGUGGGUACGGGCAGACUAAAGUGCAGUAGGGGAGACUGGAAUUCCUGGUGUAGCGGUGAAAUGCGCAGAUAUCAGGAGGAACACCGAUGGCGAAGGCAGGUCUCUGGGCAUUAACUGACGCUGAGGAGCGAAAGCAUGGGGAGCGAACAGG